This is a non-coding RNA of Pimephales promelas (fathead minnow), 653 nucleotides long. Lineage: Eukaryota; Metazoa; Chordata; Actinopteri; Cypriniformes; Leuciscidae. The record is from RefSeq and is a predicted model, not a curated record.
UCCAAUAAUUUCAACCUCAAGAGUGCAGCAGAAACUUUUUGCUUUGUGAUUUUGUGUGGAUUUACAAUACUGUGUGCUUACCUAACAGUUUACCAUGCUUUAUUAUUUUUUUUUUUUAAUCAUACACUGUCAUGAAAACACCAUUUGACAAAUUAAUUAAAUAAAUACAGACUGCAAACUAAAUAUUCUAUACACAUUUCGCUACGUUACCACGCUGAAACUACUGUUAUUGGUUGUUUCACCGGUUUACUUUGAUCAUGAUUGGUUAAUCUUUCUGUCUUCCAGGAAACUGGCCAAUGACAAAAUGCGCGCCUAUUUUAAGUUUGAAAAUACGUCCGUUAUUGUUUGAGUCGGUAUGAGGUGAGCAUCUGCUCUGCUGAUUAUUACCCCGUCGGACACGGAUUAUUUUAAAAAUUCUUGUUAAAUUCUUAUUUUGAGCGAAUUUGAGUUGUGAUAUGUCAAUGAAGGACAAAAGCUGGAAUGUGAACAGAGGAUGGGGUCGUAAUGUUACGUGGUCUGUAAAAAUACUGGCGAAAUCACUAAAGGUUAAGCAUUGGAAUAUGAUUUUUUCGGGGGGAGAACACCCAAAUAGAGACAAAUCCACCAACUACAUGAAAGGUCAUGUCACCUACCUUCAUCAGUCCUGUCUUUAA